This 253-nucleotide ribosomal RNA is filed under the name uncultured bacterium. RNAcentral describes it as "partial 16S ribosomal RNA". It matches the Rfam family "Bacterial small subunit ribosomal RNA", at positions 524 to 776 of the family's 1533-position model. The record is from RNAcentral.
UACGGAGGUGCAAGCGUUACUCGGAAUCACUGGGCGUAAAGAGCGUGUAGGCGGAUAGAUAAGUCAGAAGUGAAAUCCAAUAGCUUAACUAUUGAACUACUUUGAAACUGUCUAUCUAGAGUAUGGGAGAGGUAGAUGGAAUUUCCUGGUGUAGGGGUAAAAUCCCGUAGAGAUCAGAAGGAAUACCGAUUGCGAAGGCGAUCUACUGGAACAUAACUGACGCUGAGACGCGAAAGCGUUGGGAGCAAGCAGG